GGACGAACGCUGGCGGCGUGCUUAACACAUGCAAGUCGAACGAGAAGAGAUGAGAAGCUUGCUUCUUAUUGAUUCGAGUGGCAAACGGGUGAGUAACGCGUAAGCAACCUGCCCUUCAGAUGGGGACAACAGCUGGAAACGGUUGCUAAUACCGAAUACGUUCUUUUUGUCGCAUGGCAGAGGGAAGAAAGGGAGGCUCUUCGGAGCUUUCGCUGAAGGAGGGGCUUGCGUCUGAUUAGCUAGUUGGAGGGGUAACGGCCCACCAAGGCGACGAUCAGUAGCCGGUCUGAGAGGAUGAACGGCCACAUUGGGACUGAGACACGGCCCAGACUCCUACGGGAGGCAGCAGUGGGGAAUCUUCCGCAAUGGGCGCAAGCCUGACGGAGCAACGCCGCGUGAGUGAAGAAGGUUUUCGGAUCGUAAAGCUCUGUUGAGAGGGACGAGAGAUAUAAUCAGGAAAUGGGUUAUAGAGGACGGUACCUUUCGAGGAAGCCACGGCUAACUACGUG
This 509-nucleotide ribosomal RNA is filed under the name uncultured bacterium. RNAcentral describes it as "bacterial SSU rRNA". It matches the Rfam family "Bacterial small subunit ribosomal RNA", at positions 27 to 507 of the family's 1533-position model. The record is from RNAcentral.